Molecule: ribosomal RNA, 253 nt
Filed under: uncultured bacterium
Lineage: Bacteria
Description: partial 16S ribosomal RNA
Rfam family: Bacterial small subunit ribosomal RNA
Source: RNAcentral
UACGUAUGGGGCAAGCGUUAUCCGGAUUUAUUGGGCGUAAAGCGCGCGUAGGCGGAUUGUUAAGUCGGAUGUGAAAACCGGGGGCUCAACCCGCGGCCUGCAUCUGAAACUGGCAGUCUUGAGUCUGGUAGAGGAAAGUGGAAUUCCUGGUGUAGCGGUGAAAUGCGCAGAUAUCAGGAGGAACACCAGUGGCGAAGGCGGCUUUCUGGGCCACGACUGACGCUGAGGCGCGAAAGCUAGGGGAGCGAACAGG